AGAGUUUGAUCAUGGCUCAGGAUGAACGCUAGCUACAGGCCUAACACAUGCAAGUCGAGGGGCAUCGGGAGGGAAGCUUGCUUCCCUUGCCGGCGACCGGCGCACGGGUGAGUAACGCGUAUCGAACCUGCCCCAUACCCGGGGAUAGCCUUGCGAAAGUAAGAUUAAUACCCGAUGGUUUCCUUUUAUCUCCUGAUAUUAGGAAUAAAGAAAUUCGGUAUGGGAUGGCGAUGCGUCCGAUUAGCUAGUUGGCGGGGUAACGGCCCACCAAGGCGACGAUCGGUAGGGGUUCUGAGAGGAAGGUCCCCCAUAUUGGAACUGAGACACGGUCCAAACUCCUACGGGAGGCAGCAGUGAGGAAUAUUGGUCAAUGGGCGAAAGCCUGAACCAGCCAAGUAGCGUGCAGGAUGACGGCCCUAUGGGUUGUAAACUGCUUUUAGGCGGGGGUAAAGGAGCGGACGUGUUCCGCUUUUGCAAGUACCGCCAGAAAAAGGACCGGCUAAUUCCGUGCCAGCAGCCGCGGUAAUACGGAAGGUCCGGGCGUUAUCCGGAUUUAUUGGGUUUAAAGGGAGCGUAGGCGGGCUAUUAAGUCAGCUGUGAAAUCCGGCGGCUCAACCGUCGGCCUGCAGUUGAUACUGGUGGUCUUGAGUGCGCGCAGGGGCGUCGGAAUUCAUGGUGUAGCGGUGAAAUGCUCAGAUAUCAUGAAGAACUCCGAUCGCGAAGGCAGAUGCCCGGAGCGCAACUGACGCUGAGGCUCGAAAGUGCGGGUAUCAAACAGGAUUAGAUACCCUGGUAGUCCGCACAGUAAACGAUGGAUACUCGCGGUUCGGCUUUAGAGCGGAGCCGCC
This 848-nucleotide ribosomal RNA is filed under the name uncultured bacterium. Its description in RNAcentral is "bacterial SSU rRNA". It matches the Rfam family "Bacterial small subunit ribosomal RNA", at positions 8 to 848 of the family's 1533-position model. The record is from RNAcentral.